Small nucleolar RNA from Aethina tumida (small hive beetle), 138 nucleotides. The record is from RefSeq and is a predicted model, not a curated record. Lineage: Eukaryota; Metazoa; Arthropoda; Insecta; Coleoptera; Nitidulidae.
UUUUGGCCCUUUCGAAGCUGGAUAUUGCUGAAUGUUUGGCAUGUUCAGUCAAAAUGAGGCCUAAAGUAAAAUUUCUGUUUUGGUCACUGGAUAAUUUAAUUCAUAAUUAAUUCAGUAUUACCCAAACAGGAGACAAAU